Molecule: long non-coding RNA, 1065 nt
Organism: Hippoglossus stenolepis (Pacific halibut)
Lineage: Eukaryota; Metazoa; Chordata; Actinopteri; Pleuronectiformes; Pleuronectidae
Exons: 3
Source: RefSeq, a predicted model, not a curated record
AACAAACAGGCUGCGGAGGAGAUGUAGAGCAGCAGUAAGAGCAGGUACGAUGGCGGACGGGGGAACAGCAGUAAUCGUAGCUGCGUGCCAUUCGAAUCAGUUUAUAACAGGACUCAGACAUCUGUCUGUUAUCGUUUUUAUCUCGUGGUUCUUUAUCACGAUGUAUAAAUCUGCUGAUCUGCAACUCUUUGUGGUUUGAGUUGUGCAGAUAAAGAGCUGGUAGCAGAAUAACGUUUUUGUGGAAACAAAGCAUUUACAAGCUGUGGGUUAUUAGAAUAAAAUGCUAGUUUUGUUUUUUCCACAUCCGAAUACAGAACAGUAUUGUUCCACUUCUCAACUCCACUCCCAGACAUCGUCUUUCAGAUGUUGUAGGAUGACAACAACAGACACAGUGGAGACAUGAACAUGCUGAAAACCAACACAACGCAGGAGAAGUUUGGCAGCAAGUCUCGGUCCUCAUUAUCAUUUCUCCCUGGGCCUGUUCUGGUGAUCAGAGCCCCACCAGAGGGGCCUUUGGCUCGGUGGGAGAGGUGUUGGAGGCGGCCUGGCCCCGCUGUGCUCCUUCCUUCCCCCUCCACAGGGUGCCAGGCACAGCAUGUACCACUGUCAUGCCAAGCCUGACGACGCGGCUGCCUGCACAGCCGACGCCGUGUUUGAACAGGGCAGGGGGUUGCCACGUCAUGCCGAACACACACAUGCAGGAAGGCCCCACGCUUGCACGCACCGACAUACACACGUCGCGGUGAGGCUGACUCCCGGUGGGUUCGACACAUGUUUGGAAGAUGCCGCGGAGGUGAGAGUAAAUGUGUGGACCAAUUCAACUGAGUCUCUCUUGCAGUUUGUGCAGGUGAGAAACAUCAGACAGAAUUAGACUGAGAUUGAUAAAACUGAGUACAUCUGUUGUGGUAGAUAUAGAUUCAGAUAUAGGACACGCGGUGCACACUUUCAGUCAAUUUAAAAAUGUAUGCGGUGAACGAUUAAAUCCUUUUAAAAAGUUUAAAAUAAAAAGUGACUGCAGUUCAGUGUUUUAUGAUCUAACUAUGUCGUCCUUGACGCAGUAACUCC